UACGUAGGGUGCAAGCGUUAAUCGGAAUUACUGGGCGUAAAGCGUGCGCAGGCGGCUUUGUAAGACUGACGUGAAAUCCCCGGGCUCAACCUGGGAAUGGCGUUGGUGACUGCAAGGCUAGAGUUUGGCAGAGGGGGGUAGAAUUCCACGUGUAGCAGUGAAAUGCGUAGAUAUGUGGAGGAACACCGAUGGCGAAGGCAGCCCCCUGGGUCAAAACUGACGCUCAUGCACGAAAGCGUGGGGAGCAAACAGG
RNAcentral lists this ribosomal RNA (253 nucleotides) under uncultured bacterium. Its description in RNAcentral is "partial 16S ribosomal RNA". It matches the Rfam family "Bacterial small subunit ribosomal RNA", at positions 524 to 776 of the family's 1533-position model. The record is from RNAcentral.